GACGGAGGAUGCAAGCGUUACCCGGAAUGAUUGGGCGUAAAGCGGUCGCAGGUGGCUGUUCAAGUCUGCUGUCAAAGACCGGGGCUUAACCCUAGAAAGGCAGUGGAAACUGAACGGCUGGAGUGCAGUAGGGGUAGAGGGAAUUCCCAGUGUAGCGGUGAAAUGCGUAGAGAUUGGGAAGAACACCGGUGGCGAAAGCGCUCUGCUGGACUGCAACUGACACUGAGGGACGAAAGCUAGGGGAGCGAAAGUG
Molecule: ribosomal RNA, 253 nt
Filed under: uncultured bacterium
Lineage: Bacteria
Description: partial 16S ribosomal RNA
Rfam family: Bacterial small subunit ribosomal RNA
Source: RNAcentral